UACGUAGGGUGCGAGCGUUAAUCGGAAUUACUGGGCGUAAAGCGUGCGCAGGCGGUUUAGUAAGACAGGCGUGAAAUCCCCGGGCUCAACCUGGGAACUGCGCUUGUGACUGCUAAGCUAGAGUACGGCAGAGGGGGGUGGAAUUCCACGUGUAGCAGUGAAAUGCGUAGAGAUGUGGAGGAACACCGAUGGCGAAGGCAGCCCCCUGGGCCGAUACUGACGCUCAUGCACGAAAGCGUGGGUAGCAAACAGGAUUAGAUACCCUGGUAGUCCACGCCCUAAACGAUGUCAACUAGGUGUUGGGAGGGUAAAACCUUUUAGUACCGGAGCUAACGCGUGAAGUUGACCGCCUGGGGAGUACGGCCGCAAGGUUAAAACUCAAAGGAAUUGACGGGGACCCGCACAAGCGGUGGAUGAUGUGGAUUAAUUCGAUGCAACGCGAAAAACCUUACCUACCCUUGACAUGUCCAGAAGCUCUUAGAGAUUUGAGUGUGCCCGAAAGGGAGCUGGAACACAGGUGCUGCAUGGCUGUCGUCAGCUCGUGUCGUGAGAUGUUGGGUUAAGUCCCGCAACGAGCGCAACCCUUGUCGUUAAUUGCCAUCAUUUAGUUGGGCACUUUAACGAGACUGCCGGUGACAAACCGGAGGAAGGUGGGGAUGACGUCAAGUCCUCAUGGCCCUUAUGGGUAGGGCUUCACACGUCAUACAAUGGUCGGUACAGAGGGUUGCCAAGCCGCGAGGUGGAGCCAAUCCCAGAAAGCCGAUCGUAGUCCGGAUUGCAGGCUGCAACUCGCCUGCAUGAAGUCGGAAUCGCUAGUAAUCGCGGAUCAGCAUGUCGCGGUGAAUACGUUCCCGGGUCU
Molecule: ribosomal RNA, 859 nt
Filed under: uncultured bacterium
Lineage: Bacteria
Description: SSU rRNA
Rfam family: Bacterial small subunit ribosomal RNA
Source: RNAcentral